CCUACGGGAGGCAGCAGUAGGGAAUAUUGCUCAAUGGGGGAAACCCUGAAGCAGCAACGCCGCGUGGAGGAUGAAGGUUUUCGGAUUGUAAACUCCUUUUGUUAGAGAAGAUAAUGACGGUAUCUAACGAAUAAGAACCGGCUAACUCCGUGCCAGCAGCCGCGGUAAUACGGAGGGUGCAAGCGUUACUCGGAUUCACUGGGCGUAAAGAGCGCGUAGGCGGGAUAGCAAGUCAGAUGUGAAAUCCUAGGGCUUAACCAUAGAACUGCAUUUGAAACUGUUAUUCUAGAGUAUGGGAGAGGUAGGUGGAAUUCUUGGUGUAGGGGUAAAAUCCGUAGAGAUCAAGAGGAAUACUCAUUGCGAAGGCGACCUGCUAGAACAUAACUGACGCUGAUGCGCGAAAGCGUGGGGAGCAAACAGGAUUAGAUACCCCGGUAGUC
Molecule: ribosomal RNA, 440 nt
Filed under: uncultured bacterium
Lineage: Bacteria
Description: partial 16S ribosomal RNA
Rfam family: Bacterial small subunit ribosomal RNA
Source: RNAcentral